UGUCCAAGAAAACGUUGAUUGUCGCCGAAAAGCAACAAGUUUGCAGGUAUGCGACGUAUGCCCUUACUCAUUGUAAACAGUGUCGUUAGCCGCGCCUAGCUAUCGUUACAAAACACACAUUAAUCAGCUUAUUAUUUAAACGACCCCUGGGUACAUAUAGUCAUGCCAUACACCGUUGGAAAGCUUAGAUUACCCCGAUUAAAAGGAGACCACCCACGAGUAAUAUGGUUGCUCGCAGACAAAACGGCGAUAGGUUGACUGAAGUCUACCCAGCAGCUAAAAACGCACCCUCUACGUCUUCCCUUUAUACACAACGACCGUGUUAUGACAAGGUCGAAAUCUUUUCUCUUUCUACAAAAUCGAAACAGCUUAAUACAAACCUUAAAAAAAAGGUCGAAUUAUUAACUAGCAAACGGUGAAGGGGAUACAAUUUACCUGAGUGAAACCACGUGCUGUAAGCUAUUUUCUUUUUCAACUCGAGCUCAUUGGCUGCAAUAGAGUUCCGGGUGUUGACGUUGUUGGGGCGGGGAAAUCGUGGGCACCACCAUUUUGGCAGUAUUCGAUAGUAUUGUUGGUUUAUUUAUUUUUUAACAUUUUUUUGGUGAAGCACUGCUUCACCUGUAGUCUUAUAGAAGCCUCCACUGCUCCAAACUCUAUUUGUGAAACAUGCAGACGGCCUAGUGACACUGCCAGCAGGCAGCAGCAAAGAGAUGUAGCGACCUCGGUUUAUUUCUUCAGCUUUCACAUACACACAAACACGCACACAGGGUGCUUGGUCAUUCUUUUGUUUUGUUUUUUCGUUGUCUGUUAAACCGCCACGUGGGGCGACGUGUCUGGGAACCUCGCCUCUUGGUCUGAGCAUGUGUGGCCAUCGCUUCUCGGCCUUUUGGCUAAGAUCAAGUGUAGUAUCUGUUCUUAUCAGUUUAAUAUCUGAUACGUCCCCUACCCGGGGACCAUAUAUUAAAUUGAUUUUUGGAACUGGGAGAUGGAAAAGGGGCUUGCCCCGUCCACUCCACGCAUCGACCUGGUAUUGCAGUACCUCCAGGACCGGUGCAC
Long non-coding RNA from Gadus morhua (Atlantic cod), 1056 nucleotides. RefSeq lists it as uncharacterized. The record is from RefSeq and is a predicted model, not a curated record. NCBI's taxonomy places the organism in Eukaryota, Metazoa, Chordata, Actinopteri, Gadiformes, Gadidae. The transcript is spliced from 2 exons.